Dama dama (fallow deer) is the source of this 489-nucleotide long non-coding RNA. RefSeq lists it as uncharacterized. The record is from RefSeq and is a predicted model, not a curated record. The transcript is spliced from 2 exons. Lineage: Eukaryota; Metazoa; Chordata; Mammalia; Artiodactyla; Cervidae.
UCAAAGUCCUGAAACACAGGACAGCGCGUGCCAAAACCUCGUGGCUGCGGCCGCACGGGCUUACAGUUUAAACUGCGCGUAAAGAUGCCCAGGACCCACGCGGAAGCCCCUGGGACACCCGCCAGGACACCCGCCCGCCCCGGGCCGGGGGCAUCGGGAGCCACACCCCCGGGACGCGCCGCGGCGCACGUACGUGCGGCGGGCCGGGGAGGGCCACAGAUGGUAUAGAAUUUGCCUGCAAUGAAGGAGACCUGGGUUGGAUCCCUGGGUUAGGAAGAUCCCCUGGAGAAGGGAAUGGCAACCUACUCCAGCAUUCUGGCCUGGAGAAUCUCAUGGACAGAGGAGCCUGGCAGGCUACAGUUCAAGACACAUAGAGUGGGAUGCGACUGAACGACUGACACUUCACUUUGUAUCCCAGAAGUGUUUCUGCCUAUAACAAACCUUCAAAUAAUGUUGUGAAAUAAUUCUAAUUAAACUAUGGAGCCUUUA